Dendroctonus ponderosae (mountain pine beetle) is the source of this 559-nucleotide long non-coding RNA. RefSeq lists it as uncharacterized. Lineage: Eukaryota; Metazoa; Arthropoda; Insecta; Coleoptera; Curculionidae. The transcript has 2 exons. The record is from RefSeq and is a predicted model, not a curated record.
UCAACUUUAAAAUUGGUCUUCUUAAUCAUAUAUUAACUGUAAUCUGCUUUGCUGUUUAUUUGUGGUUAUGAGUCCUAAUGUUGUUAUUUUUCGAAAGUCAACUGACUUUUGUUACGUUUUAAAAUACUUCGUGCCAUACAAACGGUUUAAAAAAGUGAAAAUGGGGGAUAAAACUGCUUCAGUUUCCAAGGUAUAUCACCAUUCUGUGAAUGUUUCCAUACAUAAUUACACUUCUGAAAGGUCACGCUCGCCGAGCGUGUUGGUGAAUGCUUGGAUCGCCCGCUAACAUGGAGACGCUGCAUGGGAGUCUUCUUAGCUUCGCCUUAAUCGCUUCAAGAACUUACCGGCGUACUUGUAGCUAUCAGAGACAAGUAAUAAUUCCUUGUCGCUGGUAGCUACGCUGUCGCCGGCAUCGCUCCCCGGAUUUAAGGCUACUAGGCCCUCUCACUAACGACAAAGUGAUGACUCCCCCAGAGAGGGAAAAAGUUGAUCCUUUAACAUAAACGGAUCAAAGCUGUAAGGAAAAGUGGUCAUUAGUAAAUAAAAGCAGUUUAAAGAG